This 638-nucleotide long non-coding RNA is filed under the name Salvia miltiorrhiza (redroot sage). RNAcentral's name for it is "long non-coding RNA (SMIL_LNC001219)". Lineage: Eukaryota; Viridiplantae; Streptophyta; Magnoliopsida; Lamiales; Lamiaceae. The record is from RNAcentral.
AGGGGUGGCAAAUCGUGCGGGUCGGAUCGCUAUCGGGUCGACCUGAUAUCAACCCGACCUGAUAAGGCCAAACCCGAACCCGACCUGAUAAGGGAAUGCUAAAACCCAACCCGAACCCAACCUGAUACAGCUAAACCCGAACCCAACCCGAACCCAACCCGAACCCGAUAACAACCCGAACUCCUUCAGCAGCCGCGCCGAUUGGAACUCCGGGAGAGGGGCGGCGACUCGAAGAAGGGCUGCGCCGGCUGUGAGAGUCGACGUCGUUGCGUCGAGUGCGGGCGGCGGGGCGGGGCAGUGCGGCGGAGUGGAGGCUGGGAGUUGGAACUUGGAAGAAUGGAAAUUCAAAAUUGGAAGGGACGAGCGGCGGGGGAUGGGAUGAAUGAAAUGAAACCCUACUAACCUAAACUAAGAAAAUAAAAAUUUAAAAAUUAAAAUAAAUGUUUAAUAAAAAUAAUAAUAUUAUUAUCGGGUUACCUGAACCGAACCAGACCCAACCCGAACCCGACCCGAAAUUAUCAGGUCCUUAUCAGGUCGACCCGAUAAGGACCCGAACCUUAUCGUGCGUGUUACUAACCCAUUAAUUUCGUGCGGUUUCGUGUCGGGUUAUCGUGUCGUGUCGAAAAUUGCCAGCCCUA